This 78-nucleotide transfer RNA is filed under the name Rhodopirellula sp. SM50. Its description in RNAcentral is "tRNA-Pro". It matches the Rfam family "tRNA". Rfam says of the family: Transfer RNA (tRNA) molecules are approximately 80 nucleotides in length. Their secondary structure includes four short double-helical elements and three loops (D, anti-codon, and T loops). Further hydrogen bonds mediate the characteristic L-shaped molecular structure. tRNAs have two regions of fundamental functional importance: the anti-codon, which is responsible for specific mRNA codon recognition, and the 3' end, to which the tRNAs corresponding amino acid is attached (by aminoacyl-tRNA synthetases). tRNAs cope with the degeneracy of the genetic code in two manners: having more than one tRNA (with a specific anti-codon) for a particular amino acid; and 'wobble' base-pairing, i.e. permitting non-standard base-pairing at the 3rd anti-codon position. The record is from RNAcentral. Lineage: Bacteria; Pseudomonadati; Planctomycetota; Planctomycetia; Pirellulales; Pirellulaceae. RNAcentral also lists the same sequence under 1 other name.
CGGGAUGUGGCUCAGCCUGGUUAGAGCGCUGCACUGGGGGUGCAGAGGUCGCAAGUUCGAAUCUUGUCAUCCCGACUA